This 460-nucleotide ribosomal RNA is filed under the name uncultured bacterium. RNAcentral's name for it is "partial 16S ribosomal RNA". It matches the Rfam family "Bacterial small subunit ribosomal RNA", at positions 338 to 795 of the family's 1533-position model. The record is from RNAcentral.
CCUACGGGACGCAGCAGUGAGGAAUAUUGGUCAAUGGGCGCGAGCCUGACCCAGCCAAGUCGCGUGAGGGAGGACGGCCCUACGGGUUGUACACCUCUUUUGCCGGGGGGCAACGGGCGCCACGUGUGGCGUCACUGAGAGUACCCGGAGAAAAAGCAUCGGCGAACUCCGUGCCAGCAGCCGCGGUAAUACGUAGGAUGCGAGCGUUAUCGGGAUUUAUUGGGUUUAAAGGGUGCGUAGGCGGAUCGUUAAGUCAGUGGUCAAAUUGAGGGGCUCAACCUCUUCCCGCCAUUGAAACUGGCGUUCGUGAGUGGAAGAGAAGUAUGCGGAAUGCGUGGUGGAGCGGGGAAAUGCAUAGAGAUCACGCAGAACCCCGAUUGCGAAGGCAGCAUGCCGGCUUCCGACUGACGCUGAAGCACGAAAGCGUGGGGAUCGAACAGGAUUAGAUACCCGAGUAGUC